RNAcentral lists this ribosomal RNA (889 nucleotides) under uncultured bacterium. RNAcentral describes it as "bacterial SSU rRNA". It matches the Rfam family "Bacterial small subunit ribosomal RNA", at positions 8 to 894 of the family's 1533-position model. The record is from RNAcentral.
AGAGUUUGAUCCUGGCUCAGAUUGAACGCUGGCGGCAUGCCUUACACAUGCAAGUCGAACGGCAGCACGGGAGCAAUCCUGGUGGCGAGUGGCGAACGGGUGAGUAAUAUAUCGGAACGUGCCCAGUCGUGGGGGAUAACGCAGCGAAAGCUGUGCUAAUACCGCAUACGAUCUACGGAUGAAAGCGGGGGAUCGCAAGACCUCGCGCGAUUGGAGCGGCCGAUAUCAGAUUAGGUUGUUGGUGGGGUAAAAGCCCACCAAGCCGACGAUCUGUAGCUGGUCUGAGAGGACGACCAGCCACACUGGAACUGAGACACGGUCCAGACUCCUACGGGAGGCAGCAGUGGGGAAUUUUGGACAAUGGGCGCAAGCCUGAUCCAGCAAUGCCGCGUGCAGGAUGAAGGCCUUCGGGUUGUAAACUGCUUUUGUACGGAACGAAACGGCCUACUCUAAUACAGUGGGCUAAUGACGGUACCGUAAGAAUAAGCACCGGCUAACUACGUGCCAGCAGCCGCGGUAAUACGUAGGGUGCGAGCGUUAAUCGGAAUUACUGGGCGUAAAGCGUGCGCAGGCGGUUAUAUAAGACAGAUGUGAAAUCCCCGGGCUCAACCUGGGACCUGCAUUUGUGACUGUAUAGCUAGAGUGCGGCAGAGGGGGAUGGAAUUCCGCGUGUAGCAGUGAAAUGCGUAGAUAUGCGGAGGAACACCGAUGGCGAAAGCAAUCCCCUGGGCCUGCACUGACGCUCAUGCACGAAAGCGUGGGGAGCAAACAGGAUUAGAUACCCUGGUAGUCCACGCCCUAAACGAUGUCAACUGGUUGUUGGGUCUUCACUGACUCAGUAACGAAGCUAACGCGUGAAGUUGACCGCCUGGGAGUACGGCCGCAAGGU